This is a long non-coding RNA of Falco peregrinus (peregrine falcon), 710 nucleotides long. RefSeq lists it as uncharacterized. The transcript is spliced from 3 exons. NCBI's taxonomy places the organism in Eukaryota, Metazoa, Chordata, Aves, Falconiformes, Falconidae. The record is from RefSeq and is a predicted model, not a curated record.
UAGCGGACAAACCUCCCGGCAGGAACCAGUUAACAGGGACAGCAAGGAGCAGCACCAACACACAGCAGCUCUGGAGGAAGGCAGUCAUGUAUUUAAAAAGGAAAAACCACCACCAAGAAGCCCACAAAAAAGCCACACUAUUUAUUUUUCUGGGAGGUUAAAGUCAGCAGCUGGGAGUGUCUCUGGGAGGAGAGUGUAAGAACCACAGCAUCCCCAGCGUGUUUCCACUGGCUGGCUUUGGGAUCUGCAGCUCAACAGCUUUUGCAACACUGCCUCCUGUUCCUUUUGAAGCUUACCGUCACUACUGAGAUGCAGCCUUGCAAGACGCUAGGAGUACUGGCUCAGGAGUUUGGACGGUCCCAUAAAGUUAACUCAACCAAGCAGUUCUAGUCUCUCAAUAAUGCUUCCAUAUUGCUAUCAGGUACUUGCUGCUUUGUAUUAAUGUUACUUGCAUGGCAGUAGUGCUUCUUUCAGGUGGGGUCCCCUGCCAGAUGCACUGGGUGGCUCUGCAUUAGUUCUUUUUCCCAGGUCAUAGUUUAACACUGUGGGAUGCGAUUGUUGUACCAGGUGCAUUGUUUUCACCAUGUCCAGCUUUGCUGAACACAGCUGAAGCCCUGAUAUUUGGGUCAGGUUCUGUCUCCAGCCAUUAUCAUACUGACUUCAACUUGCUCUUGAUGAAACCUUUAGUCCCUGAUGCUACUGGGGCACCA